CAGCCGCCGCGGGAAUACGGAGGGGGCUAGCGUUGUUCGGAAUUACUGGGCGUAAAGCGUGCGUAGGCGGUUCGUUAAGUCUGUUGUGAAAGCCCCGGGCUCAACCUGGGAAUGGCAAUGGAUACUGGCGAGCUAGAGUGUGUCAGAGGAUGGUGGAAUUCCCGGUGUAGUGGUGAAAUGCGUAGAGAUCGGGAGGAACAUCAGUGGCGAAGGCGGCCAUCUGGGACAACACUGACGCUGAGGCACGAAAGCGUGGGGAGCAAACAGGAUUAGAUACCCGCGUAGUCCCUGUCUCUUAUAC
This 301-nucleotide ribosomal RNA is filed under the name uncultured bacterium. Its description in RNAcentral is "partial 16S ribosomal RNA". It matches the Rfam family "Bacterial small subunit ribosomal RNA", at positions 509 to 807 of the family's 1533-position model. The record is from RNAcentral.